GACGAACGCUGGCGGCGUGCUUAACACAUGCAAGUCGAACGGAAAGGCCCUGCUUUUGUGGGGUGCUCGAGUGGCGAACGGGUGAGUAACACGUGAGUAACCUGCCCUUGACUUUGGGAUAACUUCAGGAAACUGGGGCUAAUACCGGAUAGGAGCUCCUGCUGCAUGGUGGGGGUUGGAAAGUUUCGGCGGUUGUGGAUGGUCUCGCGGCUUAUCAGCUUGUUGGUGGGGUAGUGGCUUACCAAGGCUUUGACGGGUAGCCGGCCUGAGAGGGUGACCGGCCACAUUGGGACUGAGAUACGGCCCAGACUCCUACGGGAGGCAGCAGUGGGGAAUAUUACACAAUGGGCGGAAGCCUGAUGCAGCAACGCCGCGUGCGGGAUGACGGCCUUCGGGUUGUAAACCGCUUUCGCCUGUGACGAAGCGUGAGUGACGGUAAUGGGUAAAGAAGCACCGGCUAACUACGUG
Molecule: ribosomal RNA, 468 nt
Filed under: uncultured bacterium
Lineage: Bacteria
Description: partial 16S ribosomal RNA
Rfam family: Bacterial small subunit ribosomal RNA
Source: RNAcentral